Molecule: non-coding RNA, 157 nt
Filed under: Candidatus Omnitrophota bacterium
Lineage: Bacteria; Pseudomonadati; Candidatus Omnitrophota
Description: Candidatus Omnitrophica bacterium 6S RNA
Rfam family: 6S / SsrS RNA
About the family: E. coli 6S RNA was the first non coding RNA to be sequenced, but its function was unknown until recently.
Source: RNAcentral
AAAUCCCUGCGGUGCGCGUUGGAAAUUUGAUAAUUUUUGAACCAACACACUUAUCAAGGGAGCCCGGAUUCUUCGGACGCCUCGCGUCCAAGAGAGGGCACCCACCUGUAACCAGAUGGUUCAGAUGAUCGUUCCAACGGCACAUUGCGGGGAUUUU